AAACACAAAAAGACGAAGGAUUCGUGAAAGAAAUCCUGAUUUAAACAUCCUGAAGCUGGACGAAACAUCCUCCUACGUACAGUAACUACCAACAAUGCAAAUGUGUCCUCUGUAGAGAACAUUUCUGAAUGUCUCCCAACCACCGAAAGAACUCCUUUUGGUACAGAGGACAGAUAUAAAGGGGGCGGAGCUCUGGGAAUUGUAGUUUUCGGGGGAUCUCAACUGAAAGUUUUUUCUGGUAGUCAGGAGAAAAUGCCACCAUUUCCACACUUAAGGUUGUAGUUCAGAAUAAAUAUAAUAGAGUACGGUCUAAAAGUGAACCACAGUUUUACAAAUUAUCCAUCAAUUUACUCAACCCGCUUUAUUGUCCUUUUUGGGGUCACAGGGUUGCCGGAAUUUGUCCCGGCUACCAUUUUACGAAGAAAAGAAUAAACAGAAACGACUAAAAUGUGCUAAAAACCCAACAAACUGAAACCGUUUGGUUCCUCUAAACAACAAAGUGGAAAAGAAAUGUCAAAAUAAAAGUCUAAUUAAGUAAUUGGAAAAAAUCCAGUUGAAGUGACUGAUGAUAAAACUCACAUGUCACAAACUCCAUGUCACUAAACCUGAUUUAAAUUAGAUGAAAAUCCUUCCUACGCCCUUCAAACAGACGGUCUACUUCUAGAAUGAAGACAAAUACUGUUUUUGGCUGCAUGUAGUGAGCAGGUUUAUCAUAUUAAGGGCUCUGGAAACAAUUCACUGAUAAAAAAAACAAUAAGAAAAAUGAUUAAAGUGGAAAAAGACAAGAAUUCUUUGAUAGGAUUGAGAGUGAAACACCUUUAACAAUUUCUUCUUUUUAAAUCAUAACUGUAUGUCAGAUUUGAUGUGAAGAUGGAGCACAAGAGAAAACACUUCUGUUGUUCUAAUCCUCUACUCUCCUAACAAAGUAAUCCAAAAGUAAUCAAGCGCUCGUUUAGCAUCUGUUGACGUCCCUAAUGAGGCUCAAUUGUGACGUGUGUGUGUGUGUGUUUGUGCACAAACGGACUGUUUUCAGCCCCCCUCCGCACUACCUCCCGACCUUUUUCACACUUAAAGGAUUAAUUUUAUAUCUGCAGAGACGACAGGAGGACAGAAUCCAUUGGUUUAGGAGAAAACUCCAAUCGGAGGAUGAACUGAAGGAGUCCCAUCUGUGUCUUUGCCUCCUCAUAAAGCUAAAUGAGUGAAUUCAGCCUCGAGAAACAGGAAAAGGAGGAGGAGAAUGGCAGGAAUGGAGAGAAUCCUCUUUAAAAUACUGCACACAGAUGGAUAAACAAUGUUUUUUUCCACAAAUUGUUUGAUAUUAUUGAUUUUAAAACAAUCAUUUUCUAAAAAUGAGCUGUUUUUCAACCAAAGACACUUUUCCCAGCACCUCUUGGGAGGGUCAUGGAUUUUAUAUUAAUUAAUCCAAGUUCAUAAAUGUCCACAAUCAGCUUAAUCCUGUUUAUCAGCCCUCAUCCAUUAGUGUAGCAGGAGUGGCUGCACCAUACAGUGAAACUGUUGUGACACAAUGUGUCCCAUUGGUCAGAAAAUGCAGUGAAAACAGGAAAAACACAAAUAGUUUCAGUCAAAAAUAUUUUUAUCCUGGAGAGCCCACAGGGUCAAAUUUGGUUGCUGUUUUUGUUCUUCUUCAACACUUUAUUUUUGUUUUUAUUAUUAUUAUUUUCCUUUUUUCAGCGGAUGUUACUUGCUGAUAUCAAAUGAAAAAAAACAAAAAGCAAAAUACUUCCUUUGGCAAUGCUGGGAUAUACAACUGGUGGUUGUGUUUUUCUUUAUACUGUAAAAUAUUGCAUAAUUUAUCAAAAUAAAAGCGCUUGGAAUUUACUUUGGUAAAAACAACUUGUAUGUGAGAUACAGUUUUAGUGUUUGAUGUUCUGCUGAUUAAAUAAAAUGCGUUUCAUGCACAAAACAUAGUCUUUCAACAAAUUGGGUUCUCUGUUACGGUCGUGGAACAUAUUCGGAUAUUUUGCUAAAUACUAACUGCGUCCCUUCAGUAGAGCCACUAAAAGGGAAAACUGCAGAAUUCAAAAGAUGAAAAUAUACUUUUUUUUAAAUCAUCUCCCCCGUUGGGUCCAACAUCGACACAGCAGAGCGACGAUGCGUUUCAUUUCUUUCUGUUAACUUGUCAACUCUGUUAAUUUUUUAAAAAGUGUUCCAGGCAUGCGGCUAAAAAUGGCAGCGAGGGCCCAAAAGCAUGAAUAAAUGAGAUCUAUGCGUCUAAAGAGAGCAGGAGGAGGCGGAUCAGGUAAAGGAGGUGAAACGGAGCAAAAAGGAGGCAGGUUCAAGGUGACUGACAGCUGUAGGAUCAACACAUCCUGCAACUGCUAUGCAGAUCAACUCUGACCAUAUUAGCAGGAAAAUAACAGUGUCUGCACUGUGCAUGAAUAAUCCAGAAGCUUAUAAAUAUACAAUGACAGCACACAAGUGUGCACAUUUAUGCUUGAAGACGCACUAUUUAAACUCCAUCGAUGUGGUUAGCAGUGUGCGUGGGGGCAGCAGUAAAUCUGAUCUAGUCAUGAAAGAACACUUAUACUUUCAACCUUUUCAUUUUUCUCAGAAAAAUUCUAAUGUAAGACCAUUUCAGAAGAUUUCCAACACUUCAAACCUGAAAGAUCAGACAUUAACCCCAGAGGCGGGAAUGUAAUGACUGUUCCAAUGUCUAGAUAUCCAGAUAGAUGUCUAGAUGUCUAGAGAGAUGUCUACAAAGAUCUCUAGAUAAAUGUUUAGAUAGACAUCUAGAUGUCAAAAUACUGUAAAUAGGUGUCUAGAUAAACAUCUAGAUCUUUAUCUAGAUGUCUAGAUAUCUAAAUAAAUGACCAGAUGGAUCUGGUCUUGACAUGGUCUAGAUGUGAAAAAAAAUCAAAAAAAAUAAAAAUAAAUUGUGUUUUUCAAACAAGCAAUUAACAUGUCCUUUUUUUCCCCUGGUUUAUUAGUGUAAAACUAACUAUUCAUGCCAGCUACCAAGUGGAAAACUAGCGCUUUCAUUUGCUUUUUCAGACCUCUGACUGACUGAUAUGUUUGCAUCCGUCACGUCUGUCCUCUCUAACCCGUCCAUGUGUGGAGCUCCUGCUCCAUGUCCUGCAUGUUGGCGGUAAAUCUACUGAUCCCUCAUCACCCCUGUGACGUGAAAUGAGCAGAGAAACCAAACACUGUCGGGGAAACAAGGAUUUGCUGGAAAUUCAGUUUCUUCAACCACUUGAAGGAGAACAUAAAGUUGGACCAGGAAUUAUAUUUAGUGAUCCGAUCAGAGGGAGCUAGAACUGAAAUUCACUGCAGCUUUUUUUUGCAUCAAAGGCUGUUUCCUUCUCAGUGCUUCCUAACUUAAUGCCUUCAUCUGACGCAGAUUCAUCUUUGAUCUUUUUUUCAAAUAUGGAGCUAAAUUUCAAAUCAUUUUCAUUCAUUUUCUUGGAGUAUUUUUGAUUUUGCUUCUGGGUGAGCCCAAAGAAAUAAGUUUAAGUUUUGCUAACUGGUACCUUGAGUCCGAAGCCGCUUUUCCGUGAACUUUUGAUCAGUUCAAAAGAUUUUACAUCCACUAUAUGCACAGGACGGCUCGCUGCAGCAUCACAGCAUCAAAGCCGCCGUGCUGCUCCACUUUCUAAGGUCUUGAUGCUCAAGGCAACAAAAGCACAAUCAACAAAGAGGCCUGAAAUAACCACACAUGCAUCUGUAUGCUAAUGUGUGUACGCACGCAGCACUGAAGCAGUCCUAUGCCGUCAAAUGAACUCCUGCAGUACAUCUGAAGGUACUAAUCAGGAAAAGAUGGUCCUACUUUUCGUUUUCUGUGUAGAAAAGUUGGUGGACUUCAAAAACGUUAUUGCAAAAGCUUUAUUAAUAAAUAUGGAUAAAUAUGUUUAGUGUAGUUUGCCUUUUUGCAUUUACAGAUCUGCAAAAAAAAGAAAAUCUUUAAAAAAAAAGGCAAAAUCCAAAGCAACAUUUUUUAGACGUACCUUCAAAACUGAGCAGAGAGGACGACUUUGGCUCAGUGACUCAUUAGAAAGAUGAAAGAGACUGAGUCAGUAAUUCAUAUUAGAAAUGACACAGCAUAUUACCAGCAGAAUAGAACUGGCGUUUUUAAACCUCCUCCCAGCGGACUCCUGCAGUAGUGAAUUAUGUCACGCUCACUCCUGCUCUCCAGCCUGAUUUUUCCGGCUAUUGUGUAAGCCAACCAACUACUCACAGGGGCAUUUAAUCUCUAUCCAUUUCUACCGAUUAAAGGGCCUCACGGCAGCAAAAGCACCCAUCUUUUCCACCAGAACCCCAAAACCAGAGCUGCAUUAUUCGGACAGAAAGAAACAUCAGAAAUGAGCGUCUCACUUGCAGAAAGUCACAUGCACGCUCCCAAGACUACACCGCUGAAAUCAUCCUGCAGCACGCUAAUCUGUUGGCAUGACAACUGGAGUGGAAUAUGCGCUUGGCCUAGAAAAUACGGCUGGGAAGAAAAGAUGAAUGAGCAGGGAGAUAUGAAUAAAAAAACAGCAGCAGAAGCUCUCAGACAGCACACACCUACAUUAUAGCUCUCACUGUUUUUUGCCAGAAGACUGCACAAUGCCCCGUCCGACUGCAUCACUUCAUCUGGAUGCAGGAGCUCAGCGUUUGCAUGGUUGUUUGCUCCUGGAGUCUGCGGGAGGCGUUGUGUGUCACGCUAAACAACAAAGACUUGGAACGACUGCCCCUGUGGGGCGGUGGAGACACACCGACCCCUGCACACCUUUUCACUCUGGAGGCUUCAUCACAUAAAGAAACAAACACCUCUGAUGGUCCACAGAGGUCAACUAGAAACAGCACAAACUGCAAACUCGAAUUGAAAGAUUUUCAGAAGAUAGAGAUUUUUGAGAUCAAGUUUGAGAACAAGUCUAGAACACUCCCGCAAAGACAGACAAUCGGGGAUCUCUAUGGACUCUGAAUAAUCAGGAAUUUCUGAACUUCUGUGGAAAAAGAUAAGUUUCCUGGAUGAGCUUUUGAAAAACCUAAAGCCAAAGAGCUAAAAGACUGCAUCUUAUCGUCUUAGAACACCUAGAACCAAAAAGAAGAAGCACAUUACACUCAUUUUGGGGCUUUAACAUAUUUAAGACUCUUUUAUCAGUUGAUAUUGUCAUGGUGCCUCUGUCAGGCUCCUCCCCCUCCAGCUCUGCUCCACUCCAGAUGACCACCAGCUGUCGUCACUCAACUCAUCAUCCUCUGCUGCUCAAAAGGAGACCCAGCUCCACCAUUCAACGCCAGUUUGUUGCCCCUUAUGCUGACUAAAGCCUGGUCUUGUCAUGCUCUUGUUAUUCUCGUCUUGCUCAAGUUCUGGCUCUAACUUUGUUCUCCUGUCUCAGGAAUAUCACCCACGAGUGACGUCAGUGUGGACCUUCUAUCUAAUCGCCUCGGAAGAACCUGAAGACCUCUCGGCCGACGCUAACUGCACUAUCACCUCCAGCCACGCCACAAGCCACUGUCUGUUCCGGACCUCGUCUCGCCAAAGCCAUAACCACCUCUGGAAAGAAAAAUAAUAAGUUCAUUCUUACCUACCAUUUACCUCUCCUCAUUCUGGCUUCCAGCAUCUGGGUUUGCCUCGCCUUGAAAAUCAUGACAGAUAUGUCUGACUAGAAUUGGACCUUCAUUCCGAUCAGAAAUUCUUUUACUUUAGGAUCCUCCCAGAGGUCCCAAGGUCAGAACGAAAACCCACAGUGAGACCUCAUUCCAGUACCAUGGAGCUGAGGAGGAGCUCGGCUUGACCUUGGAACCAGAGGUUUCUCCAGGUGAAAAGGCUUUCGGACAGUUCUGUGAUGUUUGUGAGAGCUGUUUGGGGACGGUUCUUUGCUGUUCCAACAAGCCGCACAGCAGAACCUGAAGAAGGUCCAUCAGGACACGGAUGGAGCUGGGAAUGGGAGCGAGCUCUUCUCAUCCAACGCCAGUCUGACCUUACAAAUGUGCUUCCUGCAGAGAAGCAGAUGCAGGAGCUGACAUCACACUAAACCUUAUUGAUUAUGGAUGGGAUGUCACUGAAAUUUCACAAGGGGGUAAACACGAUGUGCAUCUGUACACACCUGCAGGUUUCAUUAAAUGUGUUUCUUUGAA
Molecule: non-coding RNA, 6075 nt
Organism: Oryzias latipes (Japanese medaka)
Lineage: Eukaryota; Metazoa; Chordata; Actinopteri; Beloniformes; Adrianichthyidae
Source: RefSeq, a predicted model, not a curated record